RNAcentral lists this ribosomal RNA (393 nucleotides) under uncultured bacterium. RNAcentral's name for it is "bacterial SSU rRNA". It matches the Rfam family "Bacterial small subunit ribosomal RNA", at positions 28 to 418 of the family's 1533-position model. The record is from RNAcentral.
GAUAAACGCUAGCGGCAGGCCUAACACAUGCAAGUCGAGGGGUAACAGGUGUAGCAAUACAUGCUGACGACCGGCGCACGGGUGAGUAACGCGUAUGCAACCUACCUUUAACAGGAGGAUAGCCCCGAGAAAUCGGGAUUAAUACUCCAUAAAAUUUUAAUACCGCAUGGUAAAAAAAUUAAAGUUUCGGCGGUUAAAGAUGGGCAUGCGUGACAUUAGUUAGUUGGUGAGGUAACGGCUCACCAAGACAGCGAUGUCUAGGGGUUCUGAGAGGAUUAUCCCCCACACUGGUACUGAGACACGGACCAGACUCCUACGGGAGGCAGCAGUGAGGAAUAUUGGUCAAUGGUCGAAAGACUGAACCAGCCAUGCCGCGUGCAGGAUGAAGGCGCU